UACGGAGGAUCCAAGCGUUAUCCGGAAUCAUUGGGUUUAAAGGGUCCGUAGGCGGGCUUAUAAGUCAGUGGUGAAAUCUCCCAGCUCAACUGGGAAACUGCCAUUGAUACUGUAGGUCUUGAAUUAUUAGGAAGUAACUAGAAUAUGUAGUGUAGCGGUGAAAUGCUUAGAUAUUACAUAGAAUACCGAUUGCGAAGGCAGGUCACUAACAACGCAUUGACGCUGAUGGACGAAAGCGUGGGGAGCGAACAGG
Molecule: ribosomal RNA, 253 nt
Filed under: uncultured bacterium
Lineage: Bacteria
Description: partial 16S ribosomal RNA
Rfam family: Bacterial small subunit ribosomal RNA
Source: RNAcentral